AGAGAAAAAUAAAACAACAAACGAGAAGAAACACAUCUCCCCUGUGCGGGCAAUAAAAGCAGCCAGCAAAACCAUCAAUCCCCAGUGAGCUGCCUAGUUUAUUGAAGCCGUAAGACCAUUUUCAAAGCAUACUUCCUGUCCUCUGGGUAGGAUUUGCUCAAGUAAUAGAGCACUUGAUAUCACUAAGAUUCCUGAAUAUACCUUUAACCCGGAUUUUCUAUCCACAGCUAUGAAAUUCGAGCUCUGUGUCAUCUUGCUUAUGCGCUGCUUUUGUCCACUCGUUUAUUCACUUACAUUCAUCCCAUGAGUAUUUAUAGAAAAAUGACUGCCUACCAGUCAUCUCUCCUAACUCUACAGAUCCAGAGUGCCUAACGUAAAAACUCCUUUCCCGUUAAUGCACAUGUUGCUUCACCAAACCAGGUUCUAACCGUGAAGGUGAGGAAGUUCGUGGUGGUUCAUGGAG
Molecule: long non-coding RNA, 463 nt
Organism: Phyllostomus discolor (pale spear-nosed bat)
Lineage: Eukaryota; Metazoa; Chordata; Mammalia; Chiroptera; Phyllostomidae
Exons: 3
Source: RefSeq, a predicted model, not a curated record